This 1617-nucleotide ribosomal RNA is filed under the name Triticum aestivum (bread wheat). RNAcentral's name for it is "partial small subunit ribosomal RNA". The record is from RNAcentral. Lineage: Eukaryota; Viridiplantae; Streptophyta; Magnoliopsida; Poales; Poaceae.
AUGAUUGCUAAUGGUAAGCAUCGAAAGAAGAGGAUCUUUCAGCUUGAGCAAGAUGAGGGUACAAUUGUAGGACAGGAGAACCUAAAAUUGUACAUUACUGAGUUCUAUAAGCAGUUGUUUGGCCCUCCAGAAAAUAACUGUGUGUCUCUGGAUGAGUCCAGGGUUGAGGAUGUUCCUCAACUCACAGUUGUGGAGAAUGAUGUUCUGACGGCUCCUUUUACCGAGAAAGAGGUAUUUGAGGUCGUUUCACAAAUGGAAAAUAACAAAGCGCUGGGCCCAGAUGGAUUUCCAGCGGAGUUUUAUAAGAAAUGUUGGUUUAUCAUUAAAGGAGAUUUGUUGCCUUUGUUCAAUGAUCUGUUUGCUGGGCAGCUUCAUCUUUUUCAGCUAAAUUUUGGAACGAUCACCCUUCUUCCUAAGAAAACAGAGGCUGUGAGAAUUGAGCAAUUCAGGCCAAUCUGUCUUCUUAAUGUUAGUUUCAAAAUUUUCACCAAGGUCGGGACCAAUAGGCUCUCACAAAUCGCGCAUGUUGUUGUGCAGCCUACCCAAACUGCCUUCAUGCCGGACAGGAACAUCCUUGAGGGUGUUGUGGUCCUACAUGAAACGCUCCAUGAAAUCCACACGAAAAAGCUGGAUGGGGUUGUUUUCAAAGUGGAUUUCGAAAAAGCGUAUGACAAAGUCAAAUGGCCUUUCCUUCAACAAGCUUUAUGCAUGAAGGGUUUUGAUGAGGCCUGGCGACGCCAGGUAGAAUCCUUUACGCAAAAAGGUAGUGUUGGAAUUAAAGUAAAUGAUGAUAUAGGUCAUUAUUUCCAGACACACAAAGGCAUGAGGCAAGGAGAUCCAAUGUCCCCUAUAUUGUUCAACAUUGUAGUCGAUAUGUUGGCCAUUCUCAUAGGCAGGGCAAAGAACGCCGGUCAGGUAGGUGGCUUGGUGCCUAACCUAGUUGAUGGGGGUGUGUCCAUUUUGCAGUACGCUGAUGAUACAAUCAUCUUCAUGGAGCAUGACUUGGCAAAAGCGAGAAACAUGAAGAUGGUGUUGUGUUUAUUUGAACAAUUGUCCGGUUUAAAGAUUAACUUUCAUAAAAGCGAGUUGUUCUGCUUUGGUAGAGCCAAGGAGGAACAAGAGGCUUAUAGGCAAUUGUUUGGUUGUGAAUUAGGGGCUUUACCUUUUACUUACCUAGGUAUACCCAUUCAUCAUCGUAAGCUCACGAACAGAGAGUGGAAAUGUAUCGAAGAUCGGUUCGAAAAGAAACUUAGUUGCUGGAAGGGCAAACUUCCGUCUUAUGGAGGCCGGUUAAUUCUUAUUAAUUCGGUGCUCACAAGUUUGCCGAUGUUCCUCCUAUCUUUCUUUGAGGUUCCAGUUGGGGUUAGGAAAAGGCUGGACUUCUAUCGGUCAAGAUUUUUUUGGCAAAGUGAUGAUCUUAAGAGAAAGUAUAGACUCGCCAAGUGGGAUAUUAUUUGUCAUCCUAAGGAUCAGGGGGGUUGGGUAUCGAGAAUCUUGAGGUCAAGAACAGAUGCCUGCUUAGUAAGUGGCUAUAUAAGUUAUCAGUUGGGACUGAUGCGACUUGGGCACAGAUUCUUCGUAACAAGUAUCUGUAAUCCAAAACUUUGUCACAGGUGA